Molecule: non-coding RNA, 72 nt
Organism: Salmo salar (Atlantic salmon)
Lineage: Eukaryota; Metazoa; Chordata; Actinopteri; Salmoniformes; Salmonidae
Source: Rfam
CUCUCUGUAGCUCAGUUGGUAGAGCAUGGUGUUUGCAACACCACGGUUGUGGGUUCGAUUCCCAUGGAGGGC